CUACGGGAGGCAGCAGUAGGGAAUCUUCCGCAAUGGACGAAAGUCUGACGGAGCAACGCCGCGUGAGUGAUGAAGGUUUUCGGAUCGUAAAGCUCUGUUGUUAGGGAAGAACCAGUGCCGUUCAAAUAGGGCGGCACCUUGACGGUACCUAACCAGAAAGCCACGGCUAACUACGUGCCAGCAGCCGCGGUAAUA
This 195-nucleotide ribosomal RNA is filed under the name uncultured Bacillus sp. Its description in RNAcentral is "partial 16S ribosomal RNA". It matches the Rfam family "Bacterial small subunit ribosomal RNA", at positions 339 to 525 of the family's 1533-position model. Lineage: Bacteria; Bacillati; Bacillota; Bacilli; Caryophanales; Bacillaceae. The record is from RNAcentral.